RNAcentral lists this ribosomal RNA (114 nucleotides) under uncultured bacterium. Its description in RNAcentral is "partial 16S ribosomal RNA". It matches the Rfam family "Bacterial small subunit ribosomal RNA", at positions 1360 to 1482 of the family's 1533-position model. The record is from RNAcentral.
CGGUGAAUACGUUCCCGGAUCUUGCACACACCGCCCGUCAAGCCAUGGAAGCCGGGUGUACCUAAAGUCGGUAACCGUAAGGAGCCGCCUAGGGUAAAACUGGUGACUGGGGCU